Molecule: unclassified non-coding RNA, 106 nt
Filed under: Rhizophagus irregularis DAOM 181602=DAOM 197198
Lineage: Eukaryota; Fungi; Glomeromycota; Glomeromycetes; Glomerales; Glomeraceae
Description: internal transcribed spacer 1; transcript_id:RIR_c52_1-ITS1
Source: RNAcentral
CCGAUUUUUAGCGGACCUGAUCUUUGAUCAUGGUCUCGUGAAAACUUGUAUUUAAAACCCCACUCUUAUAAAUUGAAUCAUUUUAUAUGUAUAUAAUAAAUAAAGA